CAUGAAGCAUAUUUUAGUUACAUUAUGUUCACACUCAUCAGCAUACUUCCAUAAAAUCAUAUAGAGUGCAACAUCAUAGCACCUUUGCCUAAUGGUAGCAGCAGCGAAUGCAGGCGGUGAUCCAAGAAGAAAUUCUUUGAGCGGACACUGGACAACCUUUCGUCCUGUCAGCCACCACAACAAACAAUUGCAUAGACUUGCGGAAUGGCUUGGUCCCUUCAAUGUAGAAGGCUAAUGCCCUCCUGACAUCUAGGGAAUGCAGCUGAUGCUCCUCCUCCAACUUAUGCAGCUUUGGAAAAAGACAGGUAAAUAAAUGUCCUGGCCCGCAUGAAACUACGAGACCACCUUGGGCAGGAAAGCCGGGUGUGGCCACAGCUGGACCUUGUCUUUGUAGAAGACCACAGAGGGUGGUUCCGAGGUAAACGCCCUAAUCUCAGAGACCCAGUGGGCGGAUCUAAUCACAACUAGGAACACAACCUUCCCGGACAGAAGGAGAGAGCAGGAAGUCAGAGGCUCAAAGCGGGAUCCCAUGAGCUGUGACAGCACAAGAUUCAGGUGCCAUGGCGGAACAGGGUCCCUGACGUGCAGGUAGAGGUGCUUGAGGCCCUUGAGGAACCUGGCAGUCAUGUCCUGGGUGAAAACCGACCUGCCCUCGAGCAGCAGACGGAAGGCCGAAAUAGCAGCCAAGUGGUCCUUGACAGAUGAAAGGGACAGGCCUUGGAGCUUGAGAUGUGAAGGUAGUCCAGGAUCAACUGCAGUGAGGCCCACUCAGGCUGAAUACCUUUAUCCCCAAGGUCCAACAAGCAAACUGCUUCCAUUUGGCCAGGUACGUUGCUCUAGUGGAGGGCUUUCUGCUGCCCAACAGGACCUGCUGGACAGCAGGCGAGCACUCCUGCUCCUCCGCAUUUAACCAUGCAGCAGCCAAGCUGUCAGGUGCAGUGCCACCAGGCUCUGAUGCACAAGACUGUUGUGGUUUUGGGACAGCAAAUCCGGACUGAGCAGGAGCUGUAACAGAGCAGCCAUCGAGAGGUCCAGCAGCAUGCCAAACCAGUGCUGGUGCAGCCACACCAGCACUAUGAUCACCUUCGCCCUGUCCUGCUUGAUUUUCAUGAGGACUCUGUGAAUUAGCGGCACUGGAGGGAAGGCGUACAACAGAGCCCCCAACCAUGGGAGCAGAAAAGUGUCCCCCGAAUUGAGCAGAAAAUGUGGCAUUUCCAGUUCUGCCUGGAUGCGAACAGGUCAACCUGGGUAGUUCUCCACCUCUGGAAGAUGAAGCUGACCACUUCCAGAUGCAGGGACCACUCAUGGCAAGAUGAGAAGGUCCUGCUGAGGUGAUCUGCCAAAGUGUUUCUUGCCCUGGGGAGGUGAGUGGCUAUGAGAUGGAUGCCGUGUUGUAUGUAGUAGGUCCAGAGCCUGAGGGCUUCCUGGCAAAGGGCAGAGGAUCUGGCCCUGCUUGUUGAUAGAGAACAUAGCUGCUGUAUUAUCCGUCAGAACCUGAGCAGAGCUGUGAAGGGGACUCUCUCCAACACCGAUGCAGGAUUCUGCCACCAGGUGAGUGAUGAUAGUACAUGAUCCAGGACCCUGACCACACGGUCCAUGUUGUGUUUGUUGGGGAUGCAGACCGACACCAGCCAUGCCUGCAGGGGCCUGAGGUGGAGCCAUGCAUGAUGGACAACAUAAGUGCAGGCCGCCAUGUGGCCCAACAAUUGUAGGCACAUGUGAGCUGCGGUAAGAAGGUGGGCUUGCAUGCACGAGAUGAGGUCUGCCAUGGCUUGGAACCAAGCCUCAGGGAGGAAGGCUCUGGCCUGAAUAGAGUUCAGGACCGCUCCAAUGAAUUCUAUGUGUUGUACCAGGAUUAAGGUAGACUUUUUUUCAUUUAUUAACAGCCUCAGGUCAUGACAGUGGAAUAAACCAAAUCGAGAUGCUGCUGCACCUGAUCCUGGGACCAACCCUUUAUUAGCCAGUCGUUAAGAUACAGGUGCCCAGCCGGGGAGUCCCCCAGCACCUAGACUCUGGAGGAGGUGGAGGGUGGAACGGCUUCCUGGCCUGCUGAGGAGUGUGGAGGCCCAAGGAAUGGAAGGUGGCAUGAGAAUCUUUAAGGUCAUGGAGUCUUGAAUAUGUGAGCUCAGAGAAGAGCCCCGCCCCCUCAAACGGGAGGUACUGAAUAGCGGCCUGCAUUUCCUGGGAUAACCCAGAAGACUGCAACCAGGAGCUGUGCCUCAUGGCCACCGCAAAGGUGACCACCCUGGCUGCUGAGUCAGUAGCAUCCCAGGCCAUUUGGAGGGCCCACCCUUGCCACCACCGUGCCUUCAUCCACCAAAGCGGUGAACUCCUGGGCUCGGUCCUGCGGGAGGGCCUCUUUGAACUUGUUAAGGGAGUCCCACAGUUAAAAUUGUACCUGCCUAGCAGUGCCUGGACACCCUGAAUUGCAGGCUGGCCGUUGAAUAAAUCUUUCUGCCAAAUAA
Molecule: long non-coding RNA, 2465 nt
Organism: Trachemys scripta elegans
Lineage: Eukaryota; Metazoa; Chordata; Testudines; Emydidae
Exons: 2
Source: RefSeq, a predicted model, not a curated record